CACGUAGGCUAUAGUGUAAGUCAGGGGUGAAAUCCCACGGCUCAACCGUGGAACUGCCUUUGAUACUGCACAACUUGAAUCCGGGAGAGGGUGGCGGAAUUCCAGGUGUAGGAGUGAAAUCCGUAGAUAUCUGGAGGAACAUCAGUGGCGAAGGCGGCCACCUGGACCGGUAUUGACGCUGAGGUGCGAAAGCGUGGGGAGCAAACAG
This 208-nucleotide ribosomal RNA is filed under the name uncultured Desulfovibrio sp. Its description in RNAcentral is "partial 16S ribosomal RNA". It matches the Rfam family "Bacterial small subunit ribosomal RNA", at positions 568 to 775 of the family's 1533-position model. Lineage: Bacteria; Pseudomonadati; Thermodesulfobacteriota; Desulfovibrionia; Desulfovibrionales; Desulfovibrionaceae. The record is from RNAcentral.